Molecule: ribosomal RNA, 459 nt
Filed under: uncultured bacterium
Lineage: Bacteria
Description: SSU rRNA
Rfam family: Bacterial small subunit ribosomal RNA
Source: RNAcentral
AGAAUCAACGCUGGCGGCGUGCCUAACACAUGCAAGUCGAACGAGAAAGUGGAGCAAUCCAUGAGUACAGUGGCGCACGGGUGAGUAACACGUGACUACCUACCCUCGAGUGGGGAAUAACCUCGGGAAACCGGGGCUAAUACCGCAUAACAUCUACGGAUCAAAUGCGAAAGCAGCUUGAGGAGGGGGUCGCGGCCGAUUAGCUAGUUGGUGAGGUAAUGGCCCACCAAGGCAAUGAUCGGUAGCCGGCCUGAGAGGGCGCACGGCCACACUGGAACUGAAACACGGUCCAGACUCCUACGGGAGGCAGCAGUGGGGAAUUUUGCGCAAUGGGGGAAACCCUGACGCAGCAACGCCGCGUGGAGGAUGAAGCCCCUUGGGGUGUAAACUCCUUUCGAUCGGGACGAUUAUGACGGUACCGGAAGAAGAAGCACCGGCUAACUCUGCGCCAGCAGCCGC